AGGUGUUUUCCACGUUUUUGGUCAGUCCAAGUCCUUCGGAAUGAGGCAUCAUGGAGGGUGAGAAUCCCGUUCGGCUGAUCAGAUUCGUUUUAUGAUACACCUUCAAAGAGUCAAGUUGAUUGGGAUUGCAGCUUAAAAUGGGAGGUAAAUUUCUCCUAAGGCUAAAUAUUGGCGAGAGACCGAUAGCGAACAAGUACCGUGAGGGAAAGAUGAAAAGUACUUUGAGAAGAGAGUUAAAUAGUACGUGAAAUUGUUGAAAGGGAAACGAUUGAAGCCAGUCGUACUCAUGGGUAAUCAACCUUUCUGGCGCAUUAUGUGGGCGUGUUGGAGCCUAAUCAGCCCUCACGUUUUUAUAUUCGUUUCUCUUGGGUGUACUUGCCCGUGUGGUAGGUUAACAUCAAUUUCGGGCGUCAUAAAAUAACGGGAGGAAUGUAGCCUCGGUCUCGGCUGAAGUGUUAUAGCCUCUGGUAGAUGUGACGUCUGGGAUUGAGGAUUGCAACGGAUACCCCUCGGGGCUACCUGCCUGGCCUCUGAUGAUUGCUAUGGUGUCGAAAGCUUG
RNAcentral lists this ribosomal RNA (559 nucleotides) under uncultured Glomus. RNAcentral's name for it is "eukaryotic LSU rRNA". It matches the Rfam family "Eukaryotic large subunit ribosomal RNA", at positions 156 to 636 of the family's 3401-position model. Lineage: Eukaryota; Fungi; Glomeromycota; Glomeromycetes; Glomerales; Glomeraceae. The record is from RNAcentral.